This is a non-coding RNA of Malus domestica (apple), 570 nucleotides long. The record is from RefSeq and is a predicted model, not a curated record. Lineage: Eukaryota; Viridiplantae; Streptophyta; Magnoliopsida; Rosales; Rosaceae.
ACAACGGUUCCUGUUAUAAUUUUUUUCUCUUUUGUAGAUCCUAAACUAUGGCAUCUUCUUCCUCCUCCGAUGCUCCCUCCGUCACAAAUUUUCUUACGAUCAAGCUCGACCUCAACAACUACCCUCUCUGGCGUGCUCAAUUUCUUCCCUUGCUGCGCAGCCGCAACUUACUCUCUUAUGUUACUGGCGAAACUCAAUGCCCAUCUGCCUUUGUUCUUGAUGACAAUGGUAAAUUCACAGACAAAGUCAAUCCAUUAUAUAAUGAAUGGAUCCAGACUGACUAGAUGAUCCUAUCUUGGAUUACGAGUUCUCUUACUCCCAAGCAGAAGUCGCACUUUGAAGAGUUCAUGCUGCACAGAAAGAUUCUUAAAUGCUACCUGUUGAGUCUAUCAUUGCUCCAUUGGAGACAGAGCUGAAGCUUGCUGCAGGAGUUAUACAUUUGUUAUGCAAUAUGACCCCUUUAAUUUUAUUUUAAAACUGAUACAAAAAUUUAUGUAGUAUUUUUGUAUCAGUUUUGAGUGUCUAUUUUGGCUUCCAUAUUUCGUCUGUACAUGUGAGAGGUAUAGCGUU